Molecule: ribosomal RNA, 389 nt
Filed under: uncultured bacterium
Lineage: Bacteria
Description: bacterial SSU rRNA
Rfam family: Bacterial small subunit ribosomal RNA
Source: RNAcentral
AUUGAACGCUGGCGGCAUGCCUUACACAUGCAAGUCGAACGGCAGCACGGGAGCAAUCCUGGUGGCGAGUGGCGAACGGGUGAGUAAUGUAUCGGAACGUACCUUUCAGUGGGGGAUAACGUAGCGAAAGUUACGCUAAUACCGCAUAUUCUGUGAGCAGGAAAGCAGGGGAGUCGCAAGACCUUGCGCUGAUUGAGCGGCCGAUAUCAGAUUAGCUAGUUGGUGAGGUAAAGGCUCACCAAGGCGACGAUCUGUAGCGGGUCUGAGAGGAUGAUCCGCCACACUGGAACUGAGACACGGUCCAGACUCCUACGGGAGGCAGCAGUGGGGAAUUUUGGACAAUGGGCGCAAGCCUGAUCCAGCCAUGCCGCGUGAGUGAAGAAGGCCUC